GAUGAACGCUGGCGGCGUGCCUAAUACAUGCAAGUCGAGCGAACUUUUGGGAACUUGCUCCCAAAAGUUAGCGGCGGACGGGUGAGUAACACGUGUGUAACCUUCCUGUAAGACUGGGAGAACUUCACGAAACCAGAGAUAAUACCGGAUAACAUUGAAUACAACAUGGCCUUCAAUUGAAAGGUGGCUUUUAUCUACCACUUACAGAUGGACCCGCGGCGGAUUUGCCAGUUGGUGAGGUAACGGCUCACCAAGGCGACGAUGCGUAGCCGACCUGAGAGGGUGAUUGGGCCACACGGGACCGGGACCAGGGCCAAGCUUCUUACGGAGGCAGCCGUAGGGAAAUUUUCGCCAAGGAGCAAAAGCUUACGGAGGAACGGCGGGUUGGGGAAGGAGGGCUUCGGGUCGGUAAGCUCCUUUUUUAGGGAAGGAAAAGUAGCGUUCGAAUAGGGCGGUAUCUUGACGGUACCUAACCAGAAAGCCACGGCUAACUACGUG
Molecule: ribosomal RNA, 498 nt
Filed under: uncultured bacterium
Lineage: Bacteria
Description: partial 16S ribosomal RNA
Rfam family: Bacterial small subunit ribosomal RNA
Source: RNAcentral